GGGGGUAUAGCUCAAGUGGUAGAGUCCAUGCUUAGCAUGCAUGAGGUCCUAGGUUCAAUCCCCAGUACUUCCU
Transfer RNA from Camelus ferus (Wild Bactrian camel), 73 nucleotides. It matches the Rfam family "tRNA". Rfam says of the family: Transfer RNA (tRNA) molecules are approximately 80 nucleotides in length. The record is from Rfam. Lineage: Eukaryota; Metazoa; Chordata; Mammalia; Artiodactyla; Camelidae.